RNAcentral lists this ribosomal RNA (2893 nucleotides) under Escherichia coli. RNAcentral's name for it is "bacterial LSU rRNA". It matches the Rfam family "Bacterial large subunit ribosomal RNA". The record is from RNAcentral. Lineage: Bacteria; Pseudomonadati; Pseudomonadota; Gammaproteobacteria; Enterobacterales; Enterobacteriaceae.
ACUAAGCGUACACGGUGGAUGCCCUGGCAGUCAGAGGCGAUGAAGGACGUGCUAAUCUGCGAUAAGCGUCGGUAAGGUGAUAUGAACCGUUAUAACCGGCGAUUUCCGAAUGGGGAAACCCAGUGUGUUUCGACACACUAUCAUUAACUGAAUCCAUAGGUUAAUGAGGCGAACCGGGGGAACUGAAACAUCUAAGUACCCCGAGGAAAAGAAAUCAACCGAGAUUCCCCCAGUAGCGGCGAGCGAACGGGGAGCAGCCCAGAGCCUGAAUCAGUGUGUGUGUUAGUGGAAGCGUCUGGAAAGGCGCGCGAUACAGGGUGACAGCCCCGUACACAAAAAUGCACAUGCUGUGAGCUCGAUGAGUAGGGCGGGACACGUGGUAUCCUGUCUGAAUAUGGGGGGACCAUCCUCCAAGGCUAAAUACUCCUGACUGACCGAUAGUGAACCAGUACCGUGAGGGAAAGGCGAAAAGAACCCCGGCGAGGGGAGUGAAAAAGAACCUGAAACCGUGUACGUACAAGCAGUGGGAGCACGCUUAGGCGUGUGACUGCGUACCUUUUGUAUAAUGGGUCAGCGACUUAUAUUCUGUAGCAAGGUUAACCGAAUAGGGGAGCCGAAGGGAAACCGAGUCUUAACUGGGCGUUAAGUUGCAGGGUAUAGACCCGAAACCCGGUGAUCUAGCCAUGGGCAGGUUGAAGGUUGGGUAACACUAACUGGAGGACCGAACCGACUAAUGUUGAAAAAUUAGCGGAUGACUUGUGGCUGGGGGUGAAAGGCCAAUCAAACCGGGAGAUAGCUGGUUCUCCCCGAAAGCUAUUUAGGUAGCGCCUCGUGAAUUCAUCUCCGGGGGUAGAGCACUGUUUCGGCAAGGGGGUCAUCCCGACUUACCAACCCGAUGCAAACUGCGAAUACCGGAGAAUGUUAUCACGGGAGACACACGGCGGGUGCUAACGUCCGUCGUGAAGAGGGAAACAACCCAGACCGCCAGCUAAGGUCCCAAAGUCAUGGUUAAGUGGGAAACGAUGUGGGAAGGCCCAGACAGCCAGGAUGUUGGCUUAGAAGCAGCCAUCAUUUAAAGAAAGCGUAAUAGCUCACUGGUCGAGUCGGCCUGCGCGGAAGAUGUAACGGGGCUAAACCAUGCACCGAAGCUGCGGCAGCGACGCUUAUGCGUUGUUGGGUAGGGGAGCGUUCUGUAAGCCUGUGAAGGUGUGCUGUGAGGCAUGCUGGAGGUAUCAGAAGUGCGAAUGCUGACAUAAGUAACGAUAAAGCGGGUGAAAAGCCCGCUCGCCGGAAGACCAAGGGUUCCUGUCCAACGUUAAUCGGGGCAGGGUGAGUCGACCCCUAAGGCGAGGCCGAAAGGCGUAGUCGAUGGGAAACAGGUUAAUAUUCCUGUACUUGGUGUUACUGCGAAGGGGGGACGGAGAAGGCUAUGUUGGCCGGGCGACGGUUGUCCCGGUUUAAGCGUGUAGGCUGGUUUUCCAGGCAAAUCCGGAAAAUCAAGGCUGAGGCGUGAUGACGAGGCACUACGGUGCUGAAGCAACAAAUGCCCUGCUUCCAGGAAAAGCCUCUAAGCAUCAGGUAACAUCAAAUCGUACCCCAAACCGACACAGGUGGUCAGGUAGAGAAUACCAAGGCGCUUGAGAGAACUCGGGUGAAGGAACUAGGCAAAAUGGUGCCGUAACUUCGGGAGAAGGCACGCUGAUAUGUAGGUGAAGCGACUUGCUCGUGGAGCUGAAAUCAGUCGAAGAUACCAGCUGGCUGCAACUGUUUAUUAAAAACACAGCACUGUGCAAACACGAAAGUGGACGUAUACGGUGUGACGCCUGCCCGGUGCCGGAAGGUUAAUUGAUGGGGUCAGCGCAAGCGAAGCUCUUGAUCGAAGCCCCGGUAAACGGCGGCCGUAACUAUAACGGUCCUAAGGUAGCGAAAUUCCUUGUCGGGUAAGUUCCGACCUGCACGAAUGGCGUAAUGAUGGCCAGGCUGUCUCCACCCGAGACUCAGUGAAAUUGAACUCGCUGUGAAGAUGCAGUGUACCCGCGGCAAGACGGAAAGACCCCGUGAACCUUUACUAUAGCUUGACACUGAACAUUGAGCCUUGAUGUGUAGGAUAGGUGGGAGGCUUGGAAGUGUGGACGCCAGUCUGCAUGGAGCCGACCUUGAAAUACCACCCUUUAAUGUUUGAUGUUCUAACGUUGACCCGUAAUCCGGGUUGCGGACAGUGUCUGGUGGGUAGUUUGACUGGGGCGGUCUCCUCCUAAAGAGUAACGGAGGAGCACGAAGGUUGGCUAAUCCUGGUCGGACAUCAGGAGGUUAGUGCAAUGGCAUAAGCCAGCUUGACUGCGAGCGUGACGGCGCGAGCAGGUGCGAAAGCAGGUCAUAGUGAUCCGGUGGUUCUGAAUGGAAGGGCCAUCGCUCAACGGAUAAAAGGUACUCCGGGGAUAACAGGCUGAUACCGCCCAAGAGUUCAUAUCGACGGCGGUGUUUGGCACCUCGAUGUCGGCUCAUCACAUCCUGGGGCUGAAGUAGGUCCCAAGGGUAUGGCUGUUCGCCAUUUAAAGUGGUACGCGAGCUGGGUUUAGAACGUCGUGAGACAGUUCGGUCCCUAUCUGCCGUGGGCGCUGGAGAACUGAGGGGGGCUGCUCCUAGUACGAGAGGACCGGAGUGGACGCAUCACUGGUGUUCGGGUUGUCAUGCCAAUGGCACUGCCCGGUAGCUAAAUGCGGAAGAGAUAAGUGCUGAAAGCAUCUAAGCACGAAACUUGCCCCGAGAUGAGUUCUCCCUGACCCUUUAAGGGUCCUGAAGGAACGUUGAAGACGACGACGUUGAUAGGCCGGGUGUGUAAGCGCAGCGAUGCGUUGAGCUAACCGGUACUAAUGAACCGUGAGGCUUAACC